RNAcentral lists this ribosomal RNA (575 nucleotides) under Trifolium retusum. RNAcentral describes it as "eukaryotic LSU rRNA". The stretch from base 115 to 270 matches the Rfam family "5.8S ribosomal RNA". RNAcentral also lists the same sequence under 2 other names. The record is from RNAcentral. Lineage: Eukaryota; Viridiplantae; Streptophyta; Magnoliopsida; Fabales; Fabaceae.
AACACAAACCCCGGCGCUGAAUGCGUCAAGGAAUUUAAAAUUUGCUCUGAGCGCACCUGCAUGGCACCGGAGACGGUUUUCGUGCGGGUUGUGUUCUGACACAUAAUAUAGAAUGACUCUCGGCAACGGAUAUCUAGGCUCUUGCAUCGAUGAAGAACGUAGCGAAAUGCGAUACUUGGUGUGAAUUGCAGAAUCCCGUGAACCAUCGAGUCUUUGAACGCAAGUUGCGCCCGAUGCCAUUAGGUUGAGGGCACGUCUGCCUGGGCGUCACAUAUCGAAGCCUCUCGCCAAUUUCCUAUAUUGAUAGGGGUAUUGUGCAGGGCGAAUGUUGGCCUCCCGUGAGCUCUAUUGCCUCAUGGUUGGUUGAAAAUCGAGACCUUGGUAGGGUGUGCCAUGAUAGAUGGUGGCUGUGUUACGCACGAGACCAAGUAAGUCAUGUGCUGCUCUAUUGAAUUUAGGCCUCUUUUACCCACAUGCGUUUCGAAACGCUCGUGAUGAGACCUCAGGUCAGGCGGGGCUACCCGCUGAAUUUAAGCAUAUCAAUAAGCGGAGGAAAAGAAACUAACAAGGAUUCC